GAUGAACGCUCGCGGCGUGCCUAAUACAUGCGAGUCGAGCGAACGGACGAGAAGCUUGCUUUUCUGAUGUUAGCGGCGGACGGGUGAGUAACACGUGGAUAACCUACCUAUAAGACUGGGAUAACUUCGGGAAACCGGAGCUAAUACCGGAUAAUAUUUUGAACCGCAUGGUUCAAAAGUGAAAGACGGUCUUGCUGUCACUUAUAGAUGGAUCCGCGCUGCAUUAGCUAGUUGGUAAGGUAACGGCUUACCAAGGCAACGAUGCAUAGCCGACCUGAGAGGGUGAUCGGCCACACUGGAACUGAGACACGGUCCAGACUCCUACGGGAGGCAGCAGUAGGGAAUCUUCCGCAAUGGGCGAAAGCCUGACGGAGCAACGCCGCGUGAGUGAUGAAGGUCUUCGGAUCGUAAAACUCUGUUAUUAGGGAAGAACAUAUGUGUAAGUAACUGUGCACAUCUUGACGGUACCUAAUCAGAAAGCCACGGCUAACUACGUG
Molecule: ribosomal RNA, 497 nt
Filed under: uncultured bacterium
Lineage: Bacteria
Description: partial 16S ribosomal RNA
Rfam family: Bacterial small subunit ribosomal RNA
Source: RNAcentral